GCUUUGAUAAGUUUUCGGGGUUUUAUCUUUGCAUGAUACAAAUACGUUGCUGUUAAUGGUCUUCCAGUUAAUAAUGAAUCGGGAUUUUAAUGUGAGUAGAGGAGUUAUUUUGUGUAUCAGCGAACGAGUUAGUCUUUCACCAAAUUUGCCAAGAUAUCGUAGCUGUAACCAGAUAUUAGGAGCUUUGUUUGUUUCAGUCAUUGUGGCUUCGUUGUCGUUGUCAUUGGAUACAGUGGGGACGGUAUAAAUUGGUUACUAAGUUUUGAGGUUAAUUUGCGAGGGAAACCAUUCCAAGAUAUGAAAUUUUGGAUUUGUUUUAACUCGUUGUUCAGGAGAGUGGCAUUACUGCAGAUUUUGUAGGCGCGAUUUACGAGAGCACGGAUCCAAGCAAUUUUUCUUGACCAGGGUGUGAAGCUUGAUUGAUAUGUGGGAGUAUUGACCAGUAUGAGUCGGCUUUGUAUAGACAGAAGUUCCAGAGGGAUGGAUGUGGAUGUCAAGGAAUUGGAUGUCAUUGUCGCUGAAUUCAUCAACGGUAAAUUGUUACAAAACUAUUAUAGGAUUGAAAGAGUUAAACUUAGUGAGAAUUAGUUGUA
This is a non-coding RNA of Paramuricea clavata, 593 nucleotides long. Lineage: Eukaryota; Metazoa; Cnidaria; Anthozoa; Malacalcyonacea; Plexauridae. The record is from the annotation of a GenBank genome assembly.